ACGCGUGUGCCACCCGGUCAAGUCUAGGUCUAGCCGCCGCUCCCCUCCCCACCCCCAGGGGAUUUAUCCUCUCUUCCUCUCCAGUCUCCUCCUCCAUCUCCAUGCUCUUCCUGCCUCGGAGUCGGAGACCCUUUACAAUAAUUACUUACUUGGAGCAUCUCUAGCAGACCCUUGACAACCGGGCCUGGAUCUGGAUCCGGAUCCAUCUCUUCUCCCCUCCCCCGCGCCGGAUCGCGCAUCGGCUUGGAGGCCCCUCGGGGCUGCCGCCGGUGCGGGAGGCGUCCGCGGCCGUGCGAGCUGGGAACAGAGCGGCGGGUUUCGAUCGAGGGCUUUCUCGGGCCGGCGCGGGAUCUGAGCCGCCGUCCAUGGAUUUCUCGCAGCUUGGGUUUGGUACUAUCCCCACCUCUCUCUCUCUCCCUCCCUCGGCGUUGACGCGCGCGCACCUAAACCGGAUCAGGCGAGCGCUCGUUGCCUGAUCGCUCAACCAUCGUCCCUGGUCGGCUGACGCCAGGUAUGAGCAGCUCCUGAGCCUGGUCGCUCGAUGCGUGCACGCACGCAUGUAUGCAUAUAUAUACUCCCUCUGUAAAGAAAUAUCAUGGUCAUGUUGCUUGGUGUGGAAUUGUGGCUGAAACAAUCAUGUCUUGGGCAAUCAAGACAGCCGUGGUGGUGGGUACUAAAUAAGAGCGUCUACGACCGGACUUAUUGACCCAUCAUUUGUACCGCCCUCUCAGUUCCCCGUCAGCUACGGUGCCGCCAGCCAUCGACAUUCCAUUGCCUGGGAUCCGGUUGUGGCGUGGGCUGGGAGCCGUACGGUGUUGUUGUCUGAUGUGUGCUGGAGGGUUUGGUCGGUCGAGGCCAGGUAUGAGCAGCUCCUGAGACUGAUGGAUGGAUGAUGUAUGCAUGCAUGAUACUAUGGUCAUGCUGGGACCGGAUUCACUGUUUUGACCCUAUUUGGAGAAGUUCAGCACAAAAUGAACCAUGUUGGAAGCUUAUCUGGGGCGAUGAUGAUGAAACAUGGCUGACAUAAACUUGUCUUCGGGCACCAAAAACACACUCCCCCUUCUUUUGAAACCUUUUCAUUCUCACAGAAUAUUGACGGCUCUGUCUUGGAUGGUCAUUCUGUUGAGUGAUAACCAGAGGAGCUCGACUACAAUUUUGGGGGCUGAUCUGGUGAAAGAAGAUGGUGGAGCUAGGUUGUAUGAUCUAUCAAAGGCGAAUCUGAGCCCUCUCAAAUCUCAAUGCAACUAAUAUUGUGGCCUCUACACUUUUAUUUACUUCUAUCACCUCUUUAUGUUUAAAAGUGAUGAAUUGUCGUGGUUGUGGCAUUUGCUAUCUCAUUAGGAGCAGCUGCUCACAAAUCACCUCUCGUGGUGUUUGGUUUGCUUUCUCAUGAUUUUGUUUUCCAUGGUGGGAACCACUUCGGUGCAUUCGGGCUUUUUCUUUUCGGUUUUACUUUUCCUUGAAUGGUUGUGAUAAUUCUACUGUCCCUUGGAUAGCUUUUGAGAUUAUCUUAUUGGGUUGGGGGUCAGUUUGCUUGUUUGAAUUGCUAUUUGGCUUUUGAUAUUGUCAUCCUUCUAUACGCUUUAUGUACUUAUUAUCAGUUUGCACUUUUGGCACUCCCCACUUCUUUACUGGUUUCAACUUAAGGGUCGAUGGAUUUUGGCAGCUUGGCUGCAUGUUGCUUCGGAUUCGGUACUGUCACCAUCUUCCUCUGCCCCCCCCCCCCCCCCCCCCCCCCCNNNNNNNNNNNNNNNNNNNNNNNNNNNNNNNNNNNNNNNNNNNNNNNNNNNNNNNNNNNNNNNNNNNNNNNNNNNNNNNNNNNNNNNNNNNNNNNNNNNNNNNNNNNNNNNNNNNNNNNNNNNNNNNNCCGAAACCCUGAACCGAAUCAUCAGAGCUCUUGUUGCCGCAUCACCGACCCAUCGUCCGGGUGGGUGCCGCGUCAGUCCCUCAGGCUCUACGGUGCCGCCAAUCCAUUGGCUUGGAUUCAGUUGUGCCAUGGGCUGGGAACCGUACAGUGAUGUCUGAUCGGUCGUCCGUGCGGGAGGUUUGGUCGGUCGAGGCCAGGUAUGAGUAGCUCUUGAGCAGGAUGGAUGCAGAGGGCGAUGAUGAUGAUGACGACGAGUGUGGCUGAAAUAAAGGUGUCUAGACAACCUAUAGCCAGCAGUCGGCUAUACUAUUAACCAUGCUCUAAAUAGAAUCGGUGAACGCAUUAGAGUUGCUCUUAGAGCCCACCCUUACUUCUCUUGCAGCCUGUUCAAUUCAUCGCUGAUGCUGGAUGUUCUGUGGCUCGGACGGUCAUCCUGAUGAGUGAUAACCAGGGCAGUUCUCCUCUACACUGAUGGGUAGAUUUUGCAGCAAGAGAUGUGGUUGGGUUUCAAGAUGAAAUGCAAAACUGAGCCAUCUUCUUUUGCUUAUCCUCUCUCUCUCAAACCCUAAACCAAAUCAGUUGAGUUCUCAUUGCCGACUCGUUGACCAAUCGUCUGUGUGGUUGGUGUGUCAGUUCCACACCGCUACGGCGCCGCCACCGCUAUCCCAUUGGCUUCGAUUCGGGUGCGGCGUGGGCUGGGAACCGUACGGUGUUGUCUGAUGCGUCGUCUGAGCAGGAGGGUUGGUCUGUCGAGGCCAGGUAUGAGCAGCUCCUGAGAUGGUGGACGGAUGGAUGUAUGCAUGCAUGUAUGUAUGUAUAUCAUGGUCAUGUUGCUUGUGGUUCGGUGUCCUUUUUGGAAAAAACUGAGGGGCGAUGAUGAUGCCUGUGGCUGAAAUAAUUAUGUCUUGAGCAAUCAGGACAUCUGUGGUGCGUGGGUACUAAAUAGGGCCUGAACGGGUGCUUGCGUUGGAGAUGCCCUUAAGGGCCCUCCCUUGGCUCUCUUGCAGCCUGUUCAAUUCAUUACCAAUUUUGGAUGUUCUGCGCCGCGGACGGUCAUUCUGUUGAGUGAUAACCAGAUCAGUUCUCUUGCAUCAAGAUGGGUAGAUUAUGCAGCAAGAGAUGCGGAGUGUUGGGCUUCAAGAUGAAACACAAAACUGAGCCCUCUUUUGAUAUGCUACAAAUACUAAAGUAGUGAUCUAAACGCUCUUAUAUUUCUUUACGGAGGGAGUAUUUGUGAACAUAGGGAGUAUCUAUCUAUCAGGGGCGAUGAUGAUCAAACAUGGCUGAUAUAAACCUGUCUUCGAUUAUUCAAGAAGCUGUGGGUAUCAAAAACCAUCUCUCCCCUCUUUUGGGACCUUUUCAUUCUCACCAAAUAUUGAUGGCUCUGUCUUGGAUGGUCAUUCUGUUAAGUAAUAACCAGCAGAGCUUGACUUCAAUGUUGGGGGUUGAUCUGGUGAAAGAAGAUGGGGCUAGUGUGAUCUAUCAAAGGCGAAUCUGAGCCCUCCUACAUCCGAUUCAUAAAAAAGUUGGAACAUCUUAUAUUUGUGAACUGAGGGGAGUAUCUAUCUAUCUAUCUAUCUAUGAGGGGCAAUGAUGAUCAAACAUGGCUGACAUAAACCUGUCUUUGAUUAUUUGAGGAGCUUUGGGUAUAAAAAACCCUCUCUCCCCUCUUUUGGGACCUUUUCAUUCUCAACGAAUAUUGACGGCUCUGUCUUGGAGGGUCAUUCUGUUGAGUGAUAACCAGCAGAGCUUGACUUCAAUGGUGGGGAAUGAUCUGAUGAAAGAAGAUGGUGGGGAUAGUAUGAUCUAUCAAAGGCAAAUCUGAGCCCUCCUACAUCCGGUUCAUAAAAAAGUUAGAACAUCUUAUAUUUGUAAAUAGAGGGAGUAUCUAUCUAUCUAUCUAUCAGGGGCGAUGACGAUCAAACAUGGCUGACAUAAACCUGUUUUUGAUUAUUUAAGGAGCUGUCGGUAUCAAACACCUGCUCUCCUCCCCUCUUUUGGGACCUUUUCACUCUCACCGAAUAUUGACGGCUGUCUUGGAUGGUCAUUCUGUUGAGUGAUAACCAGCAGAGCUUGACUUCAAUGGUGGGGGAUGAUCUGGUGAAAGAAGAUGGUGGGGCUAGUAUGAUCUAUCAAAGGCGAAUCUGAGCCCUCUCAAUGCAACUUAUAUUGUGCGUAAAAAGUUAGUAUGUUUAAUAAAGGUAAUAAAUUGUUGUGGUGUUUGGUUUGCCUUCUCAUGAUUUUGUGGUUCAUGGAGGGAACCAGUUUGGUGCUUUCAGGCUUUGCUCAAGCUCGUCUCGUUGUGGUGGUCCUUGUACCGGUAGUGUUUGAAUGUGUUUACUCCCUUCUUUUCGUGGGGUUAAAUGUGUGAAGCAUGGUCAGCAAAUGUUUGCCCUCUUUUCCUGUCUAUGCAUGUCCUCUUUUUCGUCCCCUUAUUUUUUUACUGGUUCUUAUGGCAGUGAUGUAAAUUCAAGUCGGCAAGUUGUCAACAUUUUUUCUACUGUUUUAGCAUAGCACAGCAACUGCUAAUUGGCCUUUAAGAAUACAAUUUGGCCGGUUUGCUUUUUGCUGAUGACCAUUCUAAUGCUUAUACAAGCCAAUGCGUGGAAAACCACAAAAAUCUUGUGUUGCGAAAAUACCACUUCUAUCUUUUCCUUUUUGAGAAUUUGUCUUUCUUGCCAAGCUUGUAUCCAUGUAUACAUAAAAGAUAUGUUGAGAGUUUGGUUUUGGUUUUAGUUCUUUUGGUAUGCAAAGGACUGUUUUGCAAGUUAACGUUUUGGAUGCCGCCUGUGCGGGAGGCGUCCGCGGCGGCGCGGGCUGGGGAACGAGCGGCGGGGCCCAUGCUGCGCUCCGGUCGAGGGCUUGGUCGGGCCGGCGCGGGAUCUGAGCUGCCGUCGAUGGAUUUCUGGCAGCUUGGCUGCAUGUAGCUUUGGAUUCGGUAACAUCCCCAUCUCUCCGUCUCUGACCCCCCCCCCCCCCCNNNNNNNNNNNNNNNNNNNNNNNNNNNNNNNNNNNNNNNNNNNNNNNNNNNNNNNNNNNNNNNNNNNNNNNNNNNNNNNNNNNNNNNNNNNNNNNNNNNNNNNNNNNNNNNNNNNNNNNNNNNNNNNNNNNNNNNNNNCUGACCCAUUGUCCCGAGAUGGCCCCUGCGUCAGUUCCACACCGCUACGGCGCCGCCAGCCACCGCCGUUCCAUUCCCUUGGGUUCAGUUGUGGCGUGGGCUGGAGCCGUACUCUGUUGUCUGAUGCGUCGUUGGAGCGGGAGGUUUGGUCGGUCGACGCCAGGUAUGAGCAGCUCCUGAGCAGGAUGGAUGGAUGAAUGCAUCCAUGUGUCGUGAACUAAAAUCACGACACUUAUUUGGAACGGAGGGAGUAGUAUGUAUGGAUGUCAUGGUCAUGUUGCUUGGUGUGCAGUGCCCGGCCGGGGGAUUGAACCCCCUUUUCGAAAAAUGAAAAUAAUGAGGGGCAAUGAUGAUCAUGACGAUGACUGAAAUAAUCAUGCCUUGAGCAAUCAAGACAGCCGUGGUGUGGUGGUACUAAACAGAGCUGAAAAAAAAACGGUGUCUGGGUUGGAGUUGCCCUUAGAGCCCACCCUUACCUCUCUUGCAGCAUGUCCAAUUCAUCGCUGAUGUUGGAUGCUUUGUGCCUCGGAUGGUCAUUCUGUUGAGUGAUAACCAUGGUAGUUCUCUUACAUCGUGAUGGGUAGAUUAUGAAGCAAGAGAUGUGAGGGUUGGGCUUGAAGAUGGAAAGACAAAAACCGAGCAUCUUUUGCUAUAUAUCUCUCUCAAAUCCUAAACUAAAUCAGUUGAGCUCUCAUUGCUGACUCGCUGGAUCUGGGCCGCCAUCGAUGCAUUUCUCGCAGCUUGGCUGCAUGUUGCUUUGUAUUCGGUACUAUCCCCAUCUCUCUCUCUCUUUCUUUCUCUCUCUCAGACGCUCACACACACUUGCUCUAGUAAAGCCUAACCCUCAACCGAAUCAGGCGAGCUCUCGUUGCCGGAUCUCUGACCAUCGUCCCGGUGGCCGCUGCACACCACUACGACGCCGCCAGCCACCACUGUUCCAUUGCCUUGGAUUCGGUUGUGGCGUGAGCUGGAACCGUGCUCUGUUGUCUGAUGCGUCGUUCGAGCGGGGGGUUUGGUUGUUCGAUCAACUUAUGAAAAAGGGUCAAAACACGAAAUUUAGCCUUUGGGUUGUGGCCGCGUCACUUCACUGCUGUGGUGCUGCCAGCCUCUGCCGUUCCAUUGCCUUGGAUUUGGCUGUGGCGUGGGCUGGGAACCGUGCGGUGUUGUCUGGUGCGUCGUCAGGUUUGGUCGGUCCAGGCGAGGCAUGUGUAGCUCCUGAGGCUGAUGGGGAUGGAUGGACAUGUGCACGCAUGUACUUCCUCCGUUCCUAAAUAUAAGUCUUUCUAGAGGUCUCAAUAUGAACUACAUACGGACAUGUGCUCGCAUGUACUUCCUUCGUUCGUAAAUAUAAGUCUUUUUAGAGAUCCCAAUAUGGACUACAUACGGAGCAAAAUGAGUGAAUCUACACUAUAAAUCAUGUCUAUAUACACCCGUAUGUAGUACGUAUUGAAAUCUCUAAAAAGACUUAUAUUUAGAAACGGAGGGAGUAUGAUCUAAAUGCUCUUAUAUUUCUGUACAGAGGGAGUAUGUAUGUAUGUAUGUAUGUAUGUAUGUAUGUAUGUAUGUAUGUAUAUCAGGGUCAUGUUGUGCCUGGUGGGCAAAGACCGGUGGUACAACCUCCUUUUCGGUAAAAAAUGAAGGGCGAUGAUGAUGACUGUGGCUGAAAUAAGCAUGUCUUGAGCAAUCAAGAUAGCUGUGGCCUGUGUGUACUAAAUUAGAGCCCACCCUUUCCUCCCUUGCAGCCUGUCCAAUUCAUCGGUAACGUUGGAUGUUCUGCACCUUGGACGGUCAUUCUGAUGAGUGACAACCAGGGCAGUUUUCUUACAUUUUGAUGGGUAGAUUAUGCAGCAAGAGAUGUGAGUGUUGGGUUUGAAGAUGAAAUGCAAAACUGAGCCNNNNNNNNNNUUUGCUUAUGAUCCUUGUAUCCCCUCUCUCUCUCCCUAAAACAAAUCAGUCAAGUUCUCAUUGCCGGCUUGCUGGCCCAUCGUCUCUGUGGCUGCCAUGUCAGUUCCCUGUCUUUACGGUGCUGCCAGCCGCAACCAGUCCAUUGCCUUGGAUUCGUUGUGGUGUGGCUGGGAACCGUAAGGCGUCGUCUGAUGCGUCGUCCACACUGGGAGGUUUGGUCGGUUGAGGCCAGGUAUGAGCAACUCCUGAGACUGUCUAAGUUACUCACCACUAUGGCCAGCCUGAUGGAUGGAUGGAUGGAUGGAUGGAUGGAUGGACGGACGCAUGCAUGCAUGUAUGUAGGGAUAGUAUGGUCAUGUUGCUUGGGGUUUGACCUCCUUUUCAAAAAAAAAAAAGGGGCGAUGAUGAUGCCUGUGGCUGGAAUAAUUAUGUGUUGAGCAAUCAAGACAGCUGUGGCGUGUGGGUACUAAAUAGGCCCCGAAUGGGGCCGGAGUUGGAGAUGCCCUUAAGAGCUCACCCUUACGUUUCUUGCAGCCUGUUCAAUUCAUGGCUAAUGUUGGAUGUUCUGCGCCUCGGAUGGUCAUUCUGAUGAUUGAUAACCAGGGCAGGUCUCUUACAUCGCGAUGUGUAGGUUAUGCAGCAAGAGACGUGAGUAUUGGGCUUGAAGAUGAAAGGCAAAACUGAGCCCUCUUUUGCUACGCUACAAAUACUUAGUUUUUCCUUCUCUACUAUACAUUGUUUUUUAUUUUCUGUUCCUCUCUAUUGUGUUGAUGUGAGAUCUCGAUCUGGAUUGCUAUCUUCUCUUGGUGACGAACCCAACCACCCUGGGUUACUUGGUUUGGUUCCUAGUUGGCGUUGUUUUUGCCUUUAAAGUUGUACAUAUACAUACUAUGUGUCAAACGAUUCUCCUUUUUUCCUCCAAUGCUUGUAGCUAUUGGCAGUUCUAUUCAUGUGGUUAACGAGAAGCUGUUCUCUUGCUUGUCUUGUCCUGCCAGAUGCUUCUUCAAAGACCAAGUUCUGAUCCGUUAUGUCUGUGUUUUUAUAAACUGAAGCUCAAAUUACCUUCGUAUUUGGUUUGGUCAGAGCAGACCUUUUGUUAUGAUUCUCUAUGCUAUUUAGUUCAUUGGUGAUUAGUCUAUUUUCAGCUGCUGCUGUCAAUAUUAACUGUCACAUUUUCGAUGCAUGCGUGUUACAGAUCCCUUGAACGGAUUCGAAAUGAGUGUCAAGUAAAGUUAUCAAAUGCAAAAGUGUAUUUGUUAAAAAGGCUCUUAUAUUUAACUGAAUGUCCUCCUGGAGCUUCCGCUUAGGUCAUUCAUGAUUUAUAUGUUGGGGGCUCGCCCCCUUCUCAUUAUAUAUUUUAAAAUUAAUUUAUUCAGUAUUCUUGCUUUGGUUUUGUUUUCAUUUUGCCAGAGGUUAGACUGACCGGUGUUCAGUUUCAUGGUGGAAUUGCCCACUAUCCAAUGUCACAUGCCUGACUAUUUAGCAUUAGAACCCCAUUUUUCAUGGGAUAAACGGGUGAGCUGCAUUUCCUGCUUUCUGUUUGUAUUAUAUGCAUCCCUUUUUGCAAGCUUAUGCUUUUCUUCUGUUUCAAAACGGAAAGUUUAUGUCAUCCUGUUUUUAUUUGGCUUGUAGUGACUCAACCAAGCCUUUAGUCUCAACACAUGGAUUGCUAGCUUCUACGCACCUCUGUCCAUGGCUAGUUCUUUGGUGAUAUUCCAUGUCCUCCUUUACUAUCCCACCCCUGUCCAUGGCUAGUUCUUUGGUCAUAUUACAUGUCCUCCUGUAUUAUCACUAUUAAAUUUUUACUGGUUCUUUUGGUAGUGAUGUACAUUCAAGUCGGCAAAUUGUGAACUUCUUUUCUACUGUUUUGGUCCAGCACAGCAACUGCUAACUGGCCUCAAGGAAUACAAUUUGCAUGGUUUGCUUUCUGCUGAUGACCAUUUUAAUGUGUAUAGAAGCCAAUACGUUGAAAAACACAAUGUUGUCAUAAGCCUGUAUCUACCUCCUGUUGCAAAAAUACCAUGGCUACCUUUUAUAAAUUGGCCAACUCUGAGCCUCCCGCCUAAUAAAGUUCUGAGUAAAAUUGAGUGUUUCCUUCCCAAAAUUUGAACUGAUCUUUUCCUUUUUGGUAAUUUGUUGUUCUUGCUUGCUUGCAUCCAUGUAUACAUAAAAGAUAUGUUGAGAGUUCGGUUAUGAUAUUAGUUCUUUCGGUAAAAUCAUGGGCUGGUGGAUGCAAAAGUAGUUUUGCAAGUUUAUAUUUUCGCCUUUUUUCCUACACAUUUUGUUGGUUUUGCAGUAUGUCAACCGGUUCUGUUGUUUUAGGAACAGUACUCCAGGCUCACUUAAUUCUUGUCUCUCUCUUUUUUUUUUUUCCUUUUUUGUUCUUCCUUUUUCUUGAAUGGCUAUGAUAAUUCUGCUGUGCCUUGGAUGGUAAUCUUAUUUGGUGCUGGGUCAGUUUGCUUGUUUCAAUUGCUAUUUGACUUGAUAAUUUUGUUCUUCUAUUGUACUCUUUAUUAUCUACUUAUCAGUUUGUAGUUUUGGUUUCUCUUUAGGCCGCGCUUGGGAUGGUUGUAUUUCAAUACGGGGGUAUUUAGUUUACACUUGUAUUUUACUGGCUGCUGAGGCCGUGUUUGAGUUGUCGUUUUCUUUCCAAAUACGUCUGUAAACAAUACAGAUCUCCAUCCGUCGUUUCGCUUCCAGCCGGGAAUCUCUAUUAGCUCGGUAAAUCACACCUGUAAAUUAAAUACAUUUGUAUCUAAAUACACCCAUUCCAAGCGGGGCCUGAACAAUUUCUGGCUGAAAACAAAACGAUGGCCCGAGGUCCGUAUUUUUUACACGUGUAUUUGAAACGGAAACCUGUACUUCUUUACUGGUUUCAACUUAAGGGUCGCAUAUAGCAAGUUCAGCUGUCAAAAUUACUGUCUUCUUUGUGUCACAUUCCUGAAUGGCUGUGAUGAUAUAACCUCCCUAUGAGAGCUAUCUAACACCUGAAUUGAUUUACUUGGUGCUAAACUAGGAUGGCUUGUGUCAAGCAAGUAACCAGUUUAGCGGCUAACUCCCUCAGUUCAUUGGAUUUUUCAGUAUGGACUACGCACGGACUGAAAGGAGUGACUAAACACACUAAAAAUAUACACCCGAUUAAGAAAAAAGUUAGAACAUCUUAUAUUUCUGAAUGGAAGGAGUACUGUUAAACGUUGGAAUUAAGAAUCCACUUAACAGUGUGUAGAGACGGACAAUGGAGAUUACAUGAUCCUUCUACUUAUGGUGGCAAGAUGGCGUUAUAUUUGAGCCAUUUACUUAUACAUGUCCCAGUUUUAUGUGUCCACCAGUUCAUGGUUUGCUCCUGGUAUUGUUUCUUUCUGCAAUCACUGAUUCUCCUAUGAUUUCUUGUCAUCUUGUGCUCUUUGACUAUUGGCUUCUUUGUAAUUCUCUUUGUGGUAUUUGCGCCAAAGUGCUGUUGAUGGCGAUAAUGAGUAAUGUUCAUUCAGAGGUGUAUUUAGAUCAGAUAUCAUCACUUGUUUAUAUGGUAUGUUUUAGGGUUAGGGUUUUGUGUGACUAGGUGGAAGUGUGCAAAUCGGGACGGCUUGCUUUCUCAUUUGAAUGCUGAAAUGUCACACAGGGAUGUAAGGGCAUCUGCAAUGCGGAUCAAUGCGGAUCACCAGGGGUGUAAGGGCAUCUGCAAAGCGGAUCACCAAGUGUAUCGGAUACAGAGUGGGUUCUGCCCAUAUGAGAGCCUCCUUUUUUUUUAAAUAAAUACGACCUCUACUUUUGAAUAUUAUUGGUUUUGAUUCUUCUCAAUCUAUUAAUGAUUUAUAGCAGUAUUGGGAUCUCAUUGUAAUAUACUCCCUUCGUAAAGAAAUAUAAGAGCGUUUAGAUCACUAAGUAAUCUACGACACUUACAAGAUAUGCUCAUUGCAAACUGGAUUUUGUUCUAUUUUACACUUGCAUACUCAGAAUGCGUUGAAUUACUCAUGCAUCAAGAGGUUGUACUUUAUUUGAAUAAAAAGCAAUCCUAUGUGCUGAGGGCCCUGGGAAGCGGCAGAGGGCGUAUUUUGCUUUGCGAGAACUACAGGUGUUCCUGGGUUUGCGCAUGUUCAUAUUCUCGACUAUUUUCUCACCAUAUACAUGUUCAGUGUUGCUGUACGUACACAUAGAUAAUGCCCGUUGCUAUACAUACACAUCUAUAAUGCCAACAUACGCAUAUAUAAUGCCCAGUACAUAACUAUCUGUACGUGAGAUUUUCAUUAUUCAUUACUUGGAGGCAUGGUGUUGAUAAUCUAAAUAUUGAGCUUCCUCAUACAGUAUGUCUCAUCAUACAGUUUCAUCUGGGUUCUGAAGUUGCGCCUCAUACGUACCGGGCAGUUGGAAUACACAGCACCGCCUGCAAAGGUUCCAACUCCUCUUGUGAAGCUAACCAUUUGGCCCUUCCGAAAAGAAAUCUGACUCUGUCCGAAAUCCUGACCAUGUGGUAUAUGGAGAUGAUUUCUGACACCCGAAGAAGAAUUGAAUAUCCUAAUCCAAGAGAAAAAUUGCCUCUGUUCUCAACAAGUGCAGGUGCCAAAGGAUCAUAUUUCAAUCGCUCCACGCAUCCUAAGUUCUUUCAGAAUAGUCCAUACGAUAGCCCUUGCACCUCGCCCUCUCCUUAGUUCUGAACUCAAGAACAAGCAAUAUGUUACUCUCGAGUACUAUAUGAAAGCCGAAAGAUAUUAUCUCAUGAAUUUCCAAAUAUCACCGCUACGCGAGAGAUUGGCU
RNAcentral lists this long non-coding RNA (11642 nucleotides) under Hordeum vulgare. Its description in RNAcentral is "long non-coding RNA (HVUL_LNC020567)". Lineage: Eukaryota; Viridiplantae; Streptophyta; Magnoliopsida; Poales; Poaceae. The record is from RNAcentral.